Molecule: Y RNA, 107 nt
Organism: Pongo abelii (Sumatran orangutan)
Lineage: Eukaryota; Metazoa; Chordata; Mammalia; Primates; Hominidae
Rfam family: Y RNA
About the family: Y RNAs are components of the Ro ribonucleoprotein particle (Ro RNP), in association with Ro60 and La proteins. The Y RNAs and Ro60 and La proteins are well conserved, but the function of the Ro RNP is not known.
Source: Ensembl
AGUUGGUCCUCAGGUAGUGAGUUAUCUCGAUUGCUUAGUCAGUUACAGAUUGAACUUCUUUUUUCUACUCUUCCCUGCUUUUCAUGACUGCUCUCAACUAGUUUUUU